GGGCGCGUAGUUUAGUGGCUUCAGCCAGGCUUGCCAUAGGUUCGUCUGGUUGCCAUGGAUAACAUCCCGUUGACGUCGGGAAGGUCCCCAGUUCGAGUCUGGGCGCGCCCACCA
This 114-nucleotide transfer RNA is filed under the name Candidatus Woesearchaeota archaeon. RNAcentral's name for it is "tRNA-Val". It matches the Rfam family "tRNA". Rfam says of the family: Transfer RNA (tRNA) molecules are approximately 80 nucleotides in length. Their secondary structure includes four short double-helical elements and three loops (D, anti-codon, and T loops). The record is from RNAcentral. Lineage: Archaea; Nanobdellati; Candidatus Woesearchaeota.